AGACGGAGGGGGCUAGCGUUGUUCGGAAUUACUGGGCGUAAAGCGCGCGUAGGCGGUAUAUCAAGUUAGGCGUGAAAGCCCCGGGCUCAACCCGGGAACUGCGCUUAUUACUGAUAAACUAGAGUCCGGGAGAGGGUGGCGGAAUUCCCAGUGUAGAGGUGAAAUUCGUAGAUAUUGGGAAGAACACCAGUUGCGAAGGCGGCCACCUGGACCGGUACUGACGCUGAGGUGCGAAAGCGUGGGGAGCAAACAGGAUUAGAAACCCCUGUAGUCC
This 274-nucleotide ribosomal RNA is filed under the name uncultured bacterium. Its description in RNAcentral is "partial 16S ribosomal RNA". It matches the Rfam family "Bacterial small subunit ribosomal RNA", at positions 523 to 796 of the family's 1533-position model. The record is from RNAcentral.